CUUAGAUGAGUUAUUAGAACCUGAGAUAUUUUGUAAACAAAAUCAGGAAACCGUGAUUGCUUUCAAUAUAUUUCCAUGCGACAGAAUUGAACAUGCAAGAGAAUCUCACGACUUUGAGUAUGAAAUGAAUAAUGAUAGGAAUGUUUGUCUCAUGGAGCAUUGGAUAAAUUUAGUGCCUUUCCUUUUGAGAAUUAUUUAAAAUCUCUCAAGAGUUUACUUAAAUCAGGUUACAAACCUUUAUAGCAAGCUGCGCGUCGUGAUCUAGAAAGAACAGUAUCAGUGUCAGUGCAUCUUCCAACUAAUGAUAAAGAAGUUACUUUGUCACGUAGGCAUUAUUGUGAUGGCGAGAUCAUUGAUGGUUUUUAUUUUCGAAGUAUUUCUAUUGGUAAUGUUGUUUUACAGGUUGGUCAGAGAAACUCUUGUUUUAUGACAAUUGACGGAAAUAUAUUUGUAUUGUUAAAUGUUGUGAAAAGACGAGAAGAUAUACACCUAAUUACAAACAAGUUUAACAAAAAAGAAGAUUUUUAUACAUAUCCUUUUCCUUCAUCUCUUGUUCGUAUUUUUAAAGUGUCAAAUCUGGGUGACCAAAGAAUUGUACUGCCAUUGACAAAUAUUCAAUCAAAAUUUUGUCGUUUUAAAAUUUUUACCUGACGAUGUCAACAAUGAUAAUAUUUGCUACGAUAUCGGCCUUACAAAGUGGUUGAUUGAAGUGAAUGAAGAUAUGGAAGGUCAGACAUAUUGGCCACCGCG
Molecule: long non-coding RNA, 750 nt
Organism: Temnothorax curvispinosus
Lineage: Eukaryota; Metazoa; Arthropoda; Insecta; Hymenoptera; Formicidae
Exons: 3
Source: RefSeq, a predicted model, not a curated record